CGCACAAGCGGUGGAGCAUGUGGUUUAAUUCGAAGCAACGCGCAGAACCUUACCAACCCUUGACAUCCCGAUCGCGGACAUCAGAGAUGAAGUUCCUUCAGUUCGGCUGGAUCGGAGACAGGUGCUGCAUGGCUGUCGUCAUGCCGUGACGUAAGAUGUUGGGUUAAGUCCCGCAACGCGCGCAACCCUGGCCUUUAGUUGCCAUCAUCUAGUUGGGCACUCUAAGGGGACUUCCGGUGAUAAGCCGGAGGAAGGUGGGGAUAACGUCAAGUCCUCAUGGCCCUUACG
RNAcentral lists this ribosomal RNA (288 nucleotides) under uncultured Alphaproteobacteria bacterium. RNAcentral's name for it is "partial 16S ribosomal RNA". It matches the Rfam family "Bacterial small subunit ribosomal RNA", at positions 922 to 1206 of the family's 1533-position model. The record is from RNAcentral. Lineage: Bacteria; Pseudomonadati; Pseudomonadota; Alphaproteobacteria.